CUGUUGUGAGCAUCUAUACUUCUGCACCGAGUCUAUGAAGAGCUUACGCCAUAGCUUACGCUGUUGUGAGCAUCUAUACUUCUGCACCGAGUCUAUGAAGAGCUUACGCCAAAGCUUAUGCUGUUGUGAGCAUCUAUACUUCU
Molecule: long non-coding RNA, 143 nt
Organism: Brienomyrus brachyistius
Lineage: Eukaryota; Metazoa; Chordata; Actinopteri; Osteoglossiformes; Mormyridae
Exons: 2
Source: RefSeq, a predicted model, not a curated record